AGACGUUACAGAACCACAGAGAUGUGGCACGGAGUAAUGUGGGCUGGGAGCGUAAUCCUUGGUGCUUCUGCACCAGGGCAGUGAUGGGUCAGGGCAGGACAAGCUGUGGGCCAAGCAGCCAAGGUCACCCCAGCAGUGGGAGCCCAAAGACUAACAGAGUAAAUCAAGUGAGCUGUGAUAAUCGCACGCAGCUUGGCCUCAGGCAAGGAACAACCUUGCAAACUCUCUUUGAUGAACCCUCCCUUCUGCAACUCCCCCAUCAAGUGCCUAUUAAAAAUUAAUAGUUAAAAACCGAGAACCAUGAAGCAGCAUUCAGACCUCUGAGUCACAGCUGAGACAGGGCAGGGGGGUGUGAUGUGAGGCUUGGGAGCUGCUGUGGAGCUCUCAGAGCCCCAGGGAUGCAAAAAUAAAGAACAGCAUCACCUUUAUCUAUCUCUGUGUGCAUGCACACAUAUACAGUGUAAAUAGCAAUUCUUUUAUAAUGUACAAUAGGAUUAUUUCAAAUAAUUGUAAUAUUUAUAUGUUAAUACAUGGACUAUAUGUAAUAAGUAUGUGUAUAAAAUUUGUUACCAGAAUAAUUAAAUAGCAAACAUGAUUGUA
Long non-coding RNA from Lagopus leucura (white-tailed ptarmigan), 600 nucleotides. RefSeq lists it as uncharacterized. NCBI's taxonomy places the organism in Eukaryota, Metazoa, Chordata, Aves, Galliformes, Phasianidae. The record is from RefSeq and is a predicted model, not a curated record. The transcript is spliced from 2 exons.